AGUGAACGCUGGCGGUAGGCCUAACACAUGCCAGUCGAACGGCAGCACAGUAAGAGCUUGCUCUUACGGGUGGCGAGUGGCGGACGGGUGAGGAAUACAUCGGAAUCUACUUUUUCGUGGGGGAUAACGUAGGGAAACUUACGCUAAUACCGCAUACGACCUACGGGUGAAAGCAGGGGAUCUUCGGACCUUGCGCGAUUGAAUGAGCCGAUGUCGGAUUAGCUAGUUGCGGGGUAAAGGCCCACCAAGGCGACGAUCCGUAGCUGGUCUGAGAGGAUGAUCAGCCACACUGGAACUGAGACACGGUCCAGACUCCUACGGGAGGCAGCAGUGGGGAAUAUUGGACAAUGGGCGCAAGCCUGAUCCAGCCAUACCGCGUGGGUGAAGAAGGCCUUCGGGUUGUAAAGCCCUUUUGUUGGGAAAGAAAAGCAGCAGGUUAAUACCCCGCUGUUCUGACGGUACCCAAAGAAUAAGCACCGGCUAACUUCGUG
RNAcentral lists this ribosomal RNA (491 nucleotides) under uncultured bacterium. RNAcentral describes it as "partial 16S ribosomal RNA". It matches the Rfam family "Bacterial small subunit ribosomal RNA", at positions 29 to 507 of the family's 1533-position model. The record is from RNAcentral.